GCACAGUGAUGAGCUUACACUUUGUCCGUGUUUAUGAACACAAUGAUAACAUUAAAAGUUCUGAGUCA
Molecule: small nucleolar RNA, 68 nt
Organism: Megalobrama amblycephala (Wuchang bream)
Lineage: Eukaryota; Metazoa; Chordata; Actinopteri; Cypriniformes; Xenocyprididae
Product: small nucleolar RNA SNORD18
Exons: 1
Source: RefSeq, a predicted model, not a curated record